Molecule: ribosomal RNA, 253 nt
Filed under: uncultured bacterium
Lineage: Bacteria
Description: partial 16S ribosomal RNA
Rfam family: Bacterial small subunit ribosomal RNA
Source: RNAcentral
UACGGAGGGUGCAAGCGUUAUCCGGAUUCACUGGGUUUAAAGGGUGCGUAGGCGGGCAGGUAAGUCCGUGGUGAAAUCUCUGAGCUUAACUCAGAAACUGCCAUGGAUACUAUUUGUCUUGAAUAUUGUGGAGGUAAGCGGAAUAUGUCAUGUAGCGGUGAAAUGCUUAGAUAUGACAUAGAACACCAAUUGCGAAGGCAGCUUACUACGGGAACAUUGACACUGAGGCACGAAAGCGUGGGGAUCAAACAGG